Long non-coding RNA from Homo sapiens (human), 942 nucleotides. Ensembl annotates it as long intergenic non-protein coding RNA 882. The record is from Ensembl. NCBI's taxonomy places the organism in Eukaryota, Metazoa, Chordata, Mammalia, Primates, Hominidae.
GGAUGGUGGCUAGACAAGAUGGCGGAUCCCCACUGCAAAAGUUUCUCUAAGUUUCAAAAGGUCAAGGCCUAGAUCAGCACUAGCAAAAGCAGCAGGAACAACUUUAGUGAAAUCACUAAGACAGAAUUCGCACAAGGAACUCAAUGUCUGUACAAGAGGAUGCAGCAUUCAAGGUUCUAUCUUGGAAGCAGAGACUGUGCCCUCACCAGAUGCUGAACCUGCUGAGCACCCUGAUCUUCCACUUCACCUUCAUCAGAACUUCUUUUCUUUCCCUUUUUAGACUGGGGCUGUGGCUGAGAUGUCACAUGGCAGAUAGGAUCACAAAUUUCUGUUGUAUCUGGAUGGAGAUCAGCAGGAGGAUCUAUGGGUGAGAAGAAGCACAGUUACAGAUGGAUUCUAGAGCCUGCUUGCUGACACAGGCUUGCAACUGCGGACUUUAUAAGCUUAGUUUUUAAUCUGCUAUCAGCUAGCAUAAUACCAUAAAUGCAUAAGAAACUAAGUAUUCAGUCUUACGAGAAAUGCUAUCUUGACCUGACCCUUUCUCCAAAUAAAUUGACAAAAUAUCUCAUCGUCUAGGAUGCCAGACAGAAAUACCAGUUGCAAUGUUUUGUUGCAUAAAGUUUAUCCUAAUUUAAAUUAGUGGCAUAUAAAGUCAUCAUCUUGCUUGAACAAACAUCUUAUUAAAUUGAGCAUGUCUUUUAUCCCAUGAAAUGAAAUUAAUUUUGAGAUAGUUAUUUUUCAGUUGGAAAUUUAUUGAGUUGAUAGAAAACAAGUUAUAUAGUCUUCCAAAGAAUAUGUUACAUCCAUUUGCAUUUUGUUUUUCUUCAGCAAUGUUUGGUUUUUAGAAAAUCUUACAAGUUAAAUAUACUAAUGUAGAAAUUGAAAGAAAAUAAUCAGAGAUAGAGCAAUAAAUUUGCAAAUAAAGAUUAUUCUUAAAACAAA